RNAcentral lists this long non-coding RNA (635 nucleotides) under Vulpes vulpes (red fox). Its description in RNAcentral is "lncRNA (ENSVVUG00000018730.1)". Lineage: Eukaryota; Metazoa; Chordata; Mammalia; Carnivora; Canidae. The record is from RNAcentral.
GUGGUGCCCAGUGCUUCUGGCCCAAGGACCCCACUUUGAAGAAAAAGUCUCUGGUACAGUGAUUCUCAACCUUGGCUGCAUGUGAGAACUACCUGCAGGAGUUUCUGAAAGUCAGGAAGGAGAAAGGAAGAAAACAGGUUCCUGUCAACUCCAAUCCACAUAUUCAACAAAUCUUUGAAGACACAAUGGCAAAAUGGAAGCUGUCAAAAUAAAAGAGUUUCCAUCACCUGUGGAGCAAAAUCAAAUACUUGGAGGCAAAAGAAACUUGCAAGAAGAUAGAUUAUAUCCCAUUUGGAUUGAAAUGAGCAUCUCCCCACUGAAUGCUUCUAGACAAGCGUGAAAUGUGGGCAUAACAGUGACUCGUCCUUUGAAACCACCCUCCAAUAUCUCCUCCUCAAAUGAACCUUCCUGUUAUGCGAUCUGAAAAAUCCAUCCUUCGUGGCUCAAGAAGAGAUAUCCAUGGUAAUUAUGUAGGAAUUCUGUCCUCUCCUGCCCCUGAGAUGUUAAGGCUAUCCUGGCCCUCAAGAACUCACAGGAAUUGUAUCAUUCCAGCCUUUCCACUUGCCCAAGUGAUAUUGGGCUAAUAUGAGCUUCAGUUUCUUUAUCAAUAAAAUAUGAUGAUAAUUUCUAUCUCA